GAGACGGGGUUAAGAUGGCGGAAUAGAAGGACUGGAGCUCACCUUCUCUCCUAAAAACAACAAAAUUACAGCCAAAUGCUGAGCAAUCGUCAACCAAAUGGACCAGAAGCUUUCAAAAAGAUAUCCUACUCCAGAAGACAAAGAGGAGGCCACAUCAAGAGGAAGAGCUACUCAUUGACAACCUACCAGGUUCACUGCCUCUGAUGGAUGAUCACAUUCAGCCUCACAACAGCACUGAGAAUGGGAUAUUAUCAUCACGUUGAAUGUAAGAACAAUGAAACUUAGGGUGUUCAAGCAACUCGCCCCAAGUCACCUGGGGGUAAGUGGCAGAGCUGAAAUUUAAAUGGAAGUUUCUUUAAUGUCAGCGCCUGCGAUGAUCUUUCUACUGCAAGAUACUCACCAGAGAACACUGCUUUCCCUGACGAACACUGACAGUAAAUGACUAAUCAAAUGGGACCAAUUCAUUUCAGAUCAACACAUAUUUUUAGAGCACCCAGUAUGUGCCUAGUGCUGUGAGAGAUGAGAAAAGGUUGUCAUCCUGAUCCUUGGCCUCAGUUUAUUGUUUCUUUGAGGAUGUAAGAGAGGAAGGUUGAUGGGAGUAUGCAGUAUGACCCCAGCAGCUCCCAGAACCACUGGCAGUCUUAAGAGUCAGGGCUGCUCUAAAGGGAAACACCUCGGACUGAGUGGUUUAUACAACAGACUUAUUUCUCACAGCUCUGGUGCCUGGGAAGUCCAUGAUGGAAGAGUUGGCAGAUUUCAUGUCUGGUGGGAACGGCUUCCUGGCUCAUAGAUGGUCAUCUUCUGUGUGCUCGCAUGGUGGAAGGGGCAGGGGGACUCUCUGGGGUCUCUUUUAACUCAUCUCACUGAUGAAGGCUCCGCAUGCGUGACCUGAUCAUUUCCCAAAGACCCCACCUCCCAAGCCCAUCACAUUGGAAGGGAGGAUUUCGAGCUAUGCGUUUUGAGGAUUUCAACUUUUUGAGUUUUCAGUUUGUAACAGACAGAUGUGUGGUUAAAAUAUCUUCCAAAAAGGGCUGAGGAACUGUUGGAGAUUCUGGCAGAGUCGGGAGAGCUGCUGCGGGUGGCAGGAAACGGCUAGUCCCUGGUGGUGUGGAGUUAUUCCAGAUGCCCAGGCGCCAGCGCAGGUGGCCCUUCCCUGGGAGGUCUUCUGCGUCCCAGGUCCAUGCUUCCUGCGUCCCUCACUGCUCUGUCACUGGCACUUUGCUUGUCUGUUGCUUUGCUAGCUAUGAGCUCCUUGAGGGUCAGGCUGGAUCUUCCUUCUCUGCUAUCCUCUCUCCAGAGCACACUGCCUGCGUCUUAUUCCCACUGGCUUAUGGGGAGGUAUGGACAUCUGUAUUGCUGGCUGGAUUGCUGUGCUCCAGACUGGUGCUUUGGGCAUGUGUUCCUGUCCACUUCCUGGCAGAGGCCUCACAAGUGCCAGAUCUUGGAGGAAAGGGGCGUUGGACAGGUCCUGAGCUUUCCUUACAGCCCUGCUUCCUCCUGCUCCUUCAGCCAGGGGUCUUGGGAUGUACUGUGAGCAUUGUCCCCACCGGUGCCCCGUCAUGCUUGCUUCCCCGACCAGCCAGAGAGCUCCUACCCUGGGAGGCUCCUUGCAGUAGUCUUAUUUGGCAAUAUCUCUGGGGCUGUCAGAGUUACAGACUUCAGUGUGGUUCAAAAGCAGCAAGUAGGAAUAUAAGCUAAAGUUCACGGCCAGCCUUCAGUUCUCAGGAUAACUGUUUUCUUUUGCACAUCGACUCUUUCCUUCUCCUCCUCCACUUUGAUAACUCUUCCUGCCCUUUUGAGCUCAGCAUGAAUCUCCUUCCAUUGGGAAGCCUUUGUACCCUUAGGUACCCCCUCUGUGGGCCUCUCUCAUCAUAACUGCCUUCAUACUAUGGAUGAAUUGUUCAGCUGUUUUUCUCCACUGGCAGUCAUCUUGAGCUGUAAUUAGUUUAUCAGGUGAGUUUAUCAUCUCUGGGGCUUUGGAGGAUAAGGAGAGACCUUUCACAGAACUGAUGGCUUUUGAUGGAGAACUAUAGGCAGUAGAAGGGAAAAGUGCCCCAGUGGGGGUCUCUGGGCUUGAUAGCAGGGGGGUAGCUUUCUGAGUAAGACCUAGGAGGAGAGGCUGGAAAGAUGGAAUGCAACAAUGGAAAACUUGACUCGCUUGAAAAUUUGUUCAUGAGCCAGUCCUGAAAUCAAAUAUGAUCUCAUCAAAGCUUUCCCUCUUGAUCAUAGCCAUAUAUUCAUGUGUGUGUGUGAGAAUGUAUGCGUGCGUGCGUGUGUGUGUGUGUGUGUGUAUGUUUCAGACUACAAAGUGGUGUCAUACAGGGUUUUGGCAGCCUUGUGUGUUAAGCACAACAGAGUCCCUCUCAUUUAUUAAUGAGGAGGAGGCUAGGGUUUGAGGAGUGACCUUCCCAAGGCCUACAGUCUUGACCUACACCCCAGGCCUUCUGACGCACAUGGCAGCUGGUCUGUUCCCUUUUCAUGCCUUGAAGCUGAAAGGUCUUCAGAUACCUCAGCGAUGACUCUUUGCCUCCACCUCUUUUCUGAAAGAGUUCAACACACCUUACUGUCUGGAACUUUACCAUGAAGGUUUGCAAUGGUAUUCAAUGGUAGGAUCAUGCAGUUUUUUCGUUGUUGUUGUUGUUUUUUGUUUUUUUUGUUUUUGUUUUUGUUUUUGUUUUUUUACCAUGGGAUAAUAUGGCAAAAACCCACCCUGAGAAAGGUGAUGAAAAGUAGGAAAUCAAGACCAAGGGAAGCGAAUAAAACGGGGUUGUGAUGAUCAUUGUACAACUAUACAUGUAAUAAAAUUCAUUGAGUAAUUAAAAAAAUAAACCAACCCUAAAAAAAUAAAGAAUAAAAAUAUGCUUCACAAAAAAAAAAAAAAAAAAAAAAAA
RNAcentral lists this long non-coding RNA (2891 nucleotides) under Sus scrofa (pig). Its description in RNAcentral is "lncRNA (ENSSSCG00045033773.1)". Lineage: Eukaryota; Metazoa; Chordata; Mammalia; Artiodactyla; Suidae. The record is from RNAcentral.